This 463-nucleotide ribosomal RNA is filed under the name Vreelandella stevensii. Its description in RNAcentral is "partial 16S ribosomal RNA". It matches the Rfam family "Bacterial small subunit ribosomal RNA", at positions 339 to 795 of the family's 1533-position model. The record is from RNAcentral. Lineage: Bacteria; Pseudomonadati; Pseudomonadota; Gammaproteobacteria; Oceanospirillales; Halomonadaceae.
CCACGGUGGCUGCAGUGGGGAAUAUUGGACAAUGGGCGAAAGCCUGAUCCAGCCAUGCCGCGUGUGUGAAGAAGGCCUUCGGGUUGUAGAGCACUUUCAGUGGGGAAGAAAGCCUUGGGGCUAAUACCCUCGAGGAAGGACAUCACCCACAGAAGAAGCACCGGCUAACUCCGUGCCAGCAGCCGCGGUAAUACGGAGGGUGCGAGCGUUAAUCGGAAUUACUGGGCGUAAAGCGCGCGUAGGCGGUCUGAUAAGCCGGUUGUGAAAGCCCCGGGCUCAACCUGGGAACGGCAUCCGGAACUGUCAGGCUAGAGUGCAGGAGAGGAAGGUAGAAUUCCCGGUGUAGCGGUGAAAUGCGUAGAGAUCGGGAGGAAUACCAGUGGCGAAGGCGGCCUUCUGGACUGACACUGACGCUGAGGUGCGAAAGCGUGGGUAGCAAACAGGAUUAGAUACCCUAGUAGUC